GGGGGGGAGUUUUGGGGCCCAAGACGAGUUUGCUCCUGGACCGACUGAGUCAGAAACAGAGCAUUGAGGUGAGAAGAGAAGCCAUUAUCUCCAGCCUUAUACUGUACCAUGGGAAGAAGGAAUAUGACUUGUUUAGGACUGCUUGUUUACGAUGGCUAAAGCGAUGGCAGUGGUCAGAGGCCACUCUUCAAUAAACAACUGAAAAGAGAAAGAAGUUUGGUUAUUGGAGCGUCGUUGUCUGGCUGUCUAGCCGGCUGAAAAGUUGGGAAAACUCAGGGCGAGGACAGCACAGUGAUGUCAGUAACUCUGUUUUCAAAAUCUGACAGCUAUGAGAUUGUCCCAGGAUGCAAGAGUACAGCGAAAGCUUGUCCACUGCUUAUGGGACUGAUUUAUGCCCUGAACUGUGCAUACCCUCCUAUUUUGUGCUACACUUUUAAAGUCCUCUAAGAACUCUUGCUGGAGAUGGAUCAAUUUAAACUCUACACAAAAGAAAACACCCUGAAGUGAAAGUUACUGUCAUGAUUCUGUCUUCCUAGAGGAGGAAAAUAUUUCUGUAAUGAAUGUUUUAACUCUGACAGUGUUGUAAACUUUUCACUACAUAUUUAAAAAACACUGUUCCAGUUUGAAUGUAAAAUUUAUCACUGCCCCAUAAAGAAAUUUAGAAAUUAAAUUCACACUACUAGUGGAGUUACUUAUUUGUGAAGCCGUUUCUUUAAUGCAUAGAGUAUUGCUUCAUUUUAUUUGUAAACGUUUAUCCAGAGACAAC
This is a long non-coding RNA of Cyprinodon tularosa, 766 nucleotides long. RefSeq lists it as uncharacterized. The record is from RefSeq and is a predicted model, not a curated record. The transcript has 3 exons. Lineage: Eukaryota; Metazoa; Chordata; Actinopteri; Cyprinodontiformes; Cyprinodontidae.